GUGGAUUUAUUGCUCAAUUGGUUAGAACAGUGCUUUGACAUGGCAUAGGCGAUGUCAUAGGUUCGAAUCCAGUUGAACACA
RNAcentral lists this transfer RNA (81 nucleotides) under Aeromonas hydrophila. Its description in RNAcentral is "tRNA-Val". Lineage: Bacteria; Pseudomonadati; Pseudomonadota; Gammaproteobacteria; Aeromonadales; Aeromonadaceae. The record is from RNAcentral.